GGUCCCAUUCGCCGCCGCAGCCGCCGCAGCCGCCUCAGCCUGACAGUCGCCCGUAGGGGAGAACUGAGGUCGCUUGAAGCGCUUCGUCCGGCUCUUGCCCAUGGUGACGUGCGCUGUGCGGACAGACCACCGAGAGAGGAGGGCAACAGCCGGCGGUGGAGGCUGCCGCGCCGUUAACAAGAGUCUCACUCUGUUGUCCAGGCUGGAGUGCAAUGGUGCGAUCUCGGCUUAUUGUAACCUCUGCCUUGGAGUUCAAGCAGUCCUCUGCCUUAGCCUCCUAAGUAGCUGAGAUUACAGCUCCAGCUACCAUGCGGUGACCACAGGCCCGGGUGCUUCUUGCUGUGAUGAAUGAGCCACAGGGACCAGGUCUGCAUGCUCUGCUGCGCAUUGCUUAACCCCGACAGCUCCUUCUCCAGCGCCGCCUCAGAGAAGACUGACAUCCCUUCCACCCCACAUUCACGCCGUCCCACACUGGGGUGACAGGAGGAGAGUUAAGUUGCCCUCUC
Molecule: non-coding RNA, 506 nt
Filed under: Pan troglodytes (chimpanzee)
Lineage: Eukaryota; Metazoa; Chordata; Mammalia; Primates; Hominidae
Source: RNAcentral